AAUUAACCCAAUCUAUUCAAGACAAAAAAUUUUAAAAAAUGAACAAAGCCUCUAAGAAAUUUGGGACUGUUAAACGUCCAAACAUAAGAAUAAUUGGUGUUCCUGAGAAGAGAAAUCUCUCCCAGCAGGGCUACUGGGCUCUGGGGUGGCACUAGGGAGUAUUUGCGAAGAGUGCUCUGAUGUGAUCUGUCUUCAGAUCUUUCAGCUGUGGAUACCAACACCUACUCUGGUGGAGGUAGCAGAGGAGUGAACUGGACUCCCUUAGGGUCCUUGGUUGUGUUUUUGUUUAAUGCACUGGUUUUGUGUUGGUUGGCCUCCAGCCAGGAGGUGGUGCUUUCAAGAGCUCAUCAGCUGUGGUACCAUAGGGAGAAUGCAAACUUGCCCUAGGGUCACCUGGUUAAGUAUUCAGAUUUCUCAGGUGUGGUGAGCAGGGCCAUAGAGCUCCCAAGAGAUGAUGACCUUUGUCUUUGGCUACCAAGGCGGGUAGAGAAAGAACUCCAGGUUGGGUGCAGGGAUGGGUAUUUCUGGGCUCAGCCUCUCCUUGAGUGGGGCUUGCUGGGGCUGCUGUCGGGGAUGGGAGUGUGGUUCCCAGGCCGACGGAAUUAUGUUCCCAGGGGCAUUAUGGCUGCCUCUGCUGAGUCAUACAGGUCCCCAUGGAAGUGAAGGAAAGCCAGCAGUCAUAGGCCUCACCCUACUCCCAUGCAGCCUGCAGUCCUAAAGGCCAGUGUUACUCCCACUGUGCCCCCACCAACAGCACCGACUCUAUUUCCAGGCCGCUGGUGACCAGGGCUGAGAAGUUGCCCCAGACCAUGAGCCUCCCCACUGAUAAAGCAAGCCGACUCAGUUUUUCAGCCUCUCAGGGAGCCUGCAGUGGUGAUCAAGUUUCUUCAAAGGGUCUGUGGAUUCUCUCAGAUUUUCUGAUAUGUUCCUGGCAUAGUCCUUGGAACAAAAGUUCAUAAUGUGGGUCCUGACGGUCAAAUGCACUUCUAUCAUGGAAGCUGUGCUGAGAACAGUGUUACUACGAUGUCAUUGUACAGUAGUACAUAAUUUGGUAGUUGGAUAAUGGUAUUUAUAUUGGGACUUGAUACAAAAGUAAGCAUUUUAGAUUUGGCUCCAAACAUCUUCUAAGGAAACCACAGACAAUGUAAGUAUUUAUUUAAAACAAUAACAGUCUCCACAAAGUAAAAAGAUACUGGGUUAGAAUGAUACGGAGUAAAUAACUUUUUAGUUAGUUAUAUGUGCUGACAAUGAUGUAUAUGCUAUUACUAGUAUUAUACUAGGAUUAGCUUUCCUACAGGAAUGAAACACAAUGUGGACAAACUUUUUCAGUGAAGUCUUGCCUACUGCCUCUGUGAAAAAAUUUCUAAUUAUGAUUUUAUCAGCCAGGAGGGCUUAAUCUCCUUGACAAAAUAAGAUUGUCUCAGUGACUUGAAAAGCCUUCUAGAAAAAUGUGAAAUUCAAUUAGCCUUAUCUUCCUUCUCGCAUUAAAAAAAUUUCUCUUCAUAUUCAUUGUCCACAUUUUAUCUUAUUUUCAUCAUGAACUCUUGCAGAAACAUGAAGCCAGUGGGCUGCAGGGGUCCAUGAUAGUGGUGUGGAGACUAGAAGGUGGACGCACAUCAGUGUGCAUAGUAAGUUGUUAUUUAGUAGUUACCUUAUGAUAUAUUUUCAUUGGGUAAAUAUGAAUCUAUAAAGAAAUAUCAGAAUCUAAUAUAGAAAUAUACACUUUCUAUUAAAAAGCUUUCCUAAGUACUGAGGUGCUGGGCAGGUGGCCCUCUUCUGUCUCUGGUCUAUUACCCUCUCCUCAGGGUGAAGCAUUCUCUCUAGGAAUCCAGUCACUCUACUUAUUUACUCUACUCACUAUUCUUAAAAAAAAGAAGACAGAAAAAGAAAUAGAAAUUGUGUUGUCUUCUGUUCAUGGAUGAUGUGAUGUCUGGUUUCUAUUAAAUAUAAGAAUAUUAUGAUUGAAAUGAAAGUAUUUUGUAACAUAAAUAUUGCUACAAGAAAAGAAUCCCAAAAUGAGCUGAAAAUUUUUAUAUUAACAGCUUCAGAACAUAUGAAUGUAUUUAACCUAGUGCUUCUGAAUACUAAAAAAUUUAGGAUAAACAUACUUGAAACAUCUGUCUUAUAGAAAAUAUAAGUAAUUUAGAUUCUUGAUAAACAUUAUGCAUUGCAUUUUUAAAACACGGAUGAAUAAGAGCACUUAUUUUAAAUGCAGUGCUCAUAGAAUGUUUCCAAAUUUUUAGAAGUAGAUUAGUGGUGCAUAAAAUUAGCAUAAGGGUCCUUUAGUUUCUCCUCUCUGUGUCUUAGGCAAUUCUUGAUUGGUCAUGCUUUUUGUUUAUUUUGCAGUCUAGUGACUUUCACUUUUGACUAGAGUGUCUGUCCUUGUUCAAUGUCAAAUUCACUUUAAUUUCCCUUUUAUUAUUGACGUUUGUAUCAGUAAUUUCUAAAUCUUUCAAAAAAUCAUAUGCAAAUAAAAAGCAGUCUUUGGUUCCUUAUAAAUGCCUCAAACACUUUCUAAAACUAUAAAAAGAAUGCAAGUUAUUCUUCAGGGCAAAGAAAAAGGCAUAAUUGUUUUCUCUCAAGUCUUUUUAAAACCACAAAAAUAUGUAACCCAUUUAAAUUGCAGACAUUUCAAGUGACACCUGUUUCUGAUUUGACCACGUCAUUUUCCACUCUCUGUAGCACAACUGAAAGCUGAAGAACGUUUUGAACUAAGUGAGUGACAAAGGCAAUUAAAAAAAGAAACUGGCACAAUUUAGAAAGGGAGAAAAAUUCUCUAAUGAGAAUAAAAUCUGGCUAAGGGGUUGUGCGUUUUGAGUGGUUAUUCCAAAUGCUUCGGUAUCUGCCCUGUUGCCUUCCUUGGUGCCUGGGGUACCUGGAGGGGGUGUGGUUUUAGUGUGGGCAUCGCCACUCCUUCAGGAAGACUCUUGGGUUGAAGAACUGGGGAAAAGUGGUAAUAUCUGGACAAAGUGCCCUCACCCCAUCCUGCCGCCUCAGUGCAAUGCUCCUGGUGCUCACAGCAUCCCAGGAGACAAAGGACUAUUCUAGACAUAUAGAUCUGAGGUCAAGUCCUACCUCUGCUCUUGAUUAUUCUAGGACAUUAAGGCUCACAUAAUCACUCUGAUAAUUAGUUUUAGAAUGGGUACAAAUUAUCUAAUGGGUGCCCAUUAGAAUGGGUGCAAAUUAUUGCCCUUGACAUAUUUAUACUGCUGAUUAAAGUGAAAUAACAGUUGCUUUGGAAAAAGGUAACAAUAUGAUUAAAUAAAUUAUUCCAGUACUUUAAAUCUGAGUAAAACUCUCUGCAUGGGGUAGGUUCUUAAGAAAUAUUUGGUGACUGAUGGCCCAAAGCGAAAGUUAUUACUCAACUUCAUGUUUCAUCUCUGGCCCACAUGACCCAGUGGGGGCCCUCAGGGAGUGUGAAUGAGUAAAUGGGUGGGGUAGGGUGGUGUGGGAUGAGGUGGCAGUGUUCACAGUAACUAGGGUGAAGCCAUUGUCCACCUUGGUUUUGCCUCCUGGGACCCAUUUUCCAUAAGCUGCAUUGCAGCAAGUCUUUUGUGAAUCCCAUAAAGAGAAAAAAAUUCAAUCUAAAUUUGAUUGCUGCUGAUAAAGCACUCUUUUGGAGCUUUUAUUUGCUAUACUUUACAAAAGGAUAUAAUUUUCCAUGACACAAAUUAAUACAGUUCAAAAGCUUAUUAAGACCCACAUAAUACUCCUAGAUUUUGUCUACAAAAUUCAAGGGUUUCUUAGAAGAUUUUUAGGAGCUAUACAAGUUCUUAUUUCUCCUUAAUAUAAGUACAUGUUGCAAUAUAAUCAACUUUACCAAAUUACAAUGCUCCUUUCACAUUUUUGUGUAAAAAGGGAACCACUGAGAUUGAUGUUUUAUUCUUUGUCAUUGCUAUAUCUUGCCCAAAACUCUGUUAUAAAACCAAUGAGCUAUAUUUUGUUUGUUUUAUUUACAUGUCUGUCUCCACUAGACUGUAAACUCUUAAAGGGGAAGACUCUAUCUUAUUUAUCUGUUUAAAUCCUGCAAUGCUAGCACAUAAUUGUUCCACAUCAAUGUAGACUCAACGAAUGAAUGAAUCAUUUAAUUGACUACCAAACUGAUCACUUUAAAAAUAAGUUUAAUAAGAGGGACAACAUAUAAAAUAAUAUCUAACACUGAAGUAAAUUUACUGAGUAACCUUCUCAUUUUUCACUUCCAUUUUAGUGGAAUUGUAAAAAAGUUUGAAGAGAUCUAUUCCCAUUAAGUUUUAAAAAUAUAUAAUAUGAACUGGCUUAGGCAUUCUUGCUCCUUCUAGUAAGACCAUACCAAAAAUGUUUCUCAGCUAUUUUCUUUGCUUGCUUCCUCUCCCAUUGCUUCUCCUGCUUGCAAAAGCAAUGUCUGAACAUAAUUCUGACCCACGGGAAUGGGUAAGAAGGGGAAGCCACUAGGAGAAUGAUUAUU
This 4444-nucleotide long non-coding RNA is filed under the name Homo sapiens (human). RNAcentral describes it as "HSALNT0297050". Lineage: Eukaryota; Metazoa; Chordata; Mammalia; Primates; Hominidae. The record is from RNAcentral.